This 253-nucleotide ribosomal RNA is filed under the name uncultured bacterium. RNAcentral describes it as "partial 16S ribosomal RNA". It matches the Rfam family "Bacterial small subunit ribosomal RNA", at positions 524 to 776 of the family's 1533-position model. The record is from RNAcentral.
UACGUAGGGGGCAAGCGUUGUCCGGAAUCAUUGGGCGUAAAGAGCGUGUAGGCGGCCCGGUAAGUCCGUUGUGAAAGUCGAGGGCUCAACCCUCGAAUGCCGGCGGAUACUGCCGGGCUAGAAUCCGGAAGAGGCGAGUGGAAUUCCUGGUGUAGCGGUGAAAUGCGCAGAUAUCAGGAGGAACACCAAUGGCGAAGGCAGCUCGCUGGGACGGUACUGACGCUGAGACGCGAAAGCGUGGGGAGCAAACAGG